RNAcentral lists this unclassified non-coding RNA (382 nucleotides) under uncultured bacterium. RNAcentral's name for it is "contains 16S-23S intergenic spacer region". The record is from RNAcentral.
UCCCCGUUCUCCUGGGCAGUCUCUCCAGAGUUCCCGGCAUGACCCGUUGGUAACUGAAGACAGGGGUUGCGCUCGUUGCGGGACUUAACCCAACACCUCACGACACGAGCUGACGACAGCCAUGCAGCACCUGUGUAUCCUGAUAUUGCUAUCUCGUUAGGCUUUCACCCUUCCACUAGAUACAUGUCAAGGCCAGGUAAGGUUCUUCGCGUUGCAUCGAAUUAAGCCACAUACUCCACCGCUUGUGCAGGCCCCCGUCAAUUUCUUUGAGUUUUAGCCUUGCGGCCGUACUCCCCAGGCGGGGUGCUUAAUGCGUUAGCUUCGGCACGGACGGAGUCGACACCGCCCACACCUAGCACCCAUCGUUUACGGCGUGGACUAC